RNAcentral lists this ribosomal RNA (213 nucleotides) under Listeria monocytogenes. Its description in RNAcentral is "partial 16S ribosomal RNA". It matches the Rfam family "Bacterial small subunit ribosomal RNA", at positions 216 to 428 of the family's 1533-position model. The record is from RNAcentral. Lineage: Bacteria; Bacillati; Bacillota; Bacilli; Caryophanales; Listeriaceae.
CGCUUACAGAUGGGCGCGCGGUGCAUUAGCUAGUUGGUAGGGGAAUGGCCUGCCAAGGCAACGAUGCAUAGCCGACCUGAGAGGGGGAUCGGCCACACUGGGACUGAGACACGGCCCAGACUCCUACGGGAGGCAGCAGUAGGGAAUCUUCCGCAAUGGACGAAAGUCUGACGGAGCAACGCCGCGUGUAUGAAGAAGGUUUUCGGAUCGUAA